CCUAUCAGCUUGUUGGUGAGGUAACGGCUCACCAAGGCUAAGACGGGUAGCUGGUCUGAGAGGAUGAUCAGCCACACUGGAACUGAGACACGGUCCAGACACUACGGGUGGCAGCAGUUUCGAAUCAUUCACAAUGGGNNAAACCCUGAUGGUGCAACGCCGCGUGAGGGAUGAAGGCUUCGGGUUGUAAACCUCUGUCACCAAGGAGCAACAAGCCGGUUCAUAGCCGGCCCUGAGUUAACUUGGA
RNAcentral lists this ribosomal RNA (247 nucleotides) under marine snow associated bacterium Adriatic31. Its description in RNAcentral is "partial 16S ribosomal RNA". It matches the Rfam family "Bacterial small subunit ribosomal RNA", at positions 237 to 483 of the family's 1533-position model. The record is from RNAcentral.